RNA transcript from Alligator mississippiensis (American alligator), 7602 nucleotides. It is a transcript of the gene named heparanase 2 (inactive), with no coding region annotated. The transcript is spliced from 2 exons. The record is from RefSeq and is a predicted model, not a curated record. NCBI's taxonomy places the organism in Eukaryota, Metazoa, Chordata, Crocodylia, Alligatoridae.
AUCAUUCCUUUUACUUUCCAAACGAGCCCCCGCCGCGAGGCAGCGCUGCCCAGGUGGGGCUAAUGCCUAGUCCAGGAUCCGCCCGUCCCUGUCACUCGGACCGGCCCCGGAGCCAUGGCCCGAGCGCCCGUGCUGGGCUGUUGUCACCCGCGGCCCCGCGACCUGAGCUGGGAUGGGGAGGCAGCAACUUUGCUGCUGCCUCUCUCAGACCGCCUCUCCCUGCCUGCCUCGCCCCAUUGCAGGGAAUGGGCCUCUGCUUGCUGCCUGGGCCCCUGGUGCCACGGUAGGUGGGCGGCUGGCGUCGGGUCCAGAGUAUGCUGGACCGGGGGGCAGAAGGAGCAAGCUGGCAGUCCCUGCGUCUCCUGUUUUUCUUGCCCGCUCUGUCCGCUCUUACACCUGCCACGGGCCUGCAUCCAAAACCCCCCUGGCCCAGAGCAAGGGGAGCGCACGGCUGCCACCUCCAAGUGGCAUCCUGACCGGCAUCCAGGAUGCCCACAGGCGGGCUAUCUGCAGGAGCCGUCUGCAGCCCCCGGAGCGGAGGGGCAAGUCCCCAGGGCACGUUAUGGAAACGUCCCGGUUCCAGGCCAGGCUGGGCUUGUCCAGACGUGAGACGCGGCUUGCACCAGGCUCCCAGAAUCGCAGACCUGAAGCACUCGGAGCAGCACGCUCCUGUUUGCCUGGGGGAUGCCAGGGGCGGCUGGUGCCCAUUGCAGCCGGGGCUGGGCGCUCCCUGGGCUGCUGGAGAGUCACAGACGUCUCCGUCUGCACCAGGGACGGCGCUGCCUCGGGCGCGCUGUGAGCCCCAGGCCCCGAGCACCAGCUCUGAGUGCCACAAGGGCCGGAUGGAUGGGAUCCGCUGCCCGCAGGGGACCCCGUGUCUGCAAGGGACCCAUUGUCCAGCACCUUUAGGAGCUGGCUGCGCCGUGUUGGUUGCUGCUGCUGCUUCUGGGACCCAGAGCUUGGCUGGGAGCUUGUUGCCCCGGGCUGGGCUGCGCGCUGCUCACCUGGAGUUGGCCUGGGGUGCGCCUUCCCCCUUGAGAAGCAAGUUUGCAGACUAAGUAAAUGUAGUUUUCUCUUGGGUGUUGGGGCAGGGGAGCAGGAGGAAGCUGCAGACCAGUCGCUUGGACCCUUGGCUGAAGGCUGAGUGCAGCGUGGCUGCUGCGUGGCGCCGAGGGGCACAGAUAGACUGGGCAGCAGCCAGGUGAGGGUGAGGAGUCAGUCCACGCAAAGGGGCCACGCUCCUGCAGACCUGGUCCAGCAUCUCCCAGCGCUGGCCCUGUAACCGUUUGCGGGCUGCGUCUCCUGUCUGGGCUCCUGCAGGGUGUGCGCUCGACGGGCCCGCUGGUGUCUCGUCCCUCUUUGCUCCCAACAAGCAAACCACUGCCCUGGUAUCCUGGAGAAACCGAAGAGCAGGUGGGAGCUCACGUUCCUGGGGACGCAGCCAGGUUGCUGCUAAGCUCCCGCGCGAGCGUCCUGCUCCGAAUGCCUGACGCUGUCUGAGAGGUCAGCUCUGAUUCCUACAUCUGCCCUUCCUGCCCCCGGCAAUGCUGCGCUCCUGCCCCCGGGCACCCAGACCCACGCUCUCCUGCCCCGCCUGCUCCUCCCUCCCUUCCUGAAGCCAUGCAGCGUGGUGUGCAUUGAUGCAUUGAUGCGAGCAGAUCUGGCCGCCUUUCCCGAGUCAGGAACGGACAGAGGCAGAUCACCGUCUUCCCUCUCCAGCCUCAGGAGCAACGUGCCGGAGCAGUCUGGCUCUUUCCUGGGGGCACAUCGCUUUGCCUGGGCUGGUUGUGCUUGGUUCGGUGGGUUGCAGUGGAGACCACGCUUCACUCAGCGCCAUCCGUGUUUGCACGGGGUCCUGACACAGGUGGAAAACUCAGAGCCUGCUUUUGUACCUGGCCACACCAGCAAGGGAGCUCUGCCUGCCAGCCUGGGGAGCAUGGUGCUCCAAGGGCCAGUGCACCCCUCCAGAAGGGGCCUGCAGGUGCUUGUCCUGGGAGCGCGUCCACGGCAUCGCCCUGGACACAAACAAAUCCCUUUCAUUGCACAUGGACGGGACGCCGCCAGCAUCAGAGCCUCCGGUGGACCAUCCCCUUGGGUCCAUGGAGAAAGGCAGCAUCCCCUGCAAGGCGGGAAGCCCUCUGCAGCCCCGUCUGUCUCCUGCAAGAGGGUGUUAGAGGCGCCAGGGCGGAGCAUGGGACGUGUGCAUCGGGGUCUGUGCUGGGGUGAGGCGUGUUGCACGCACCCCUGCAGUCUCGGGUGUCUCACCAGGAUCGGGGGGUCCCCCCGGCGUGGAGGUGGGGAUGCCCACAGAGGGGAAUCUGAGCACACGGGCCCCUGAGACCUGGCAUCCGCUCAGGCUGCAGGAGGCCGGGAGGAAAGGGAAGGCCUUGACAGCGCCGAGGAGCGUCUGCAGGAGCCGGGGGCUCCUCGCCCCGCGGGUGGACUCUGCAGGCAGGGCUGCGGGCGGCGGGCGCUCCCUGCACGGUAGCCCAGCGCUCCCUCCCGGCGGGCGGCGGGCUGUCGGCGCGGGCGCGGACCCUCUAAUUCCAAGCAGACUCGGCCCGGAGCAGCAGGCGACAAAGUAGAUCCGGAAAUUCCUGAGCGUGGGGAAGUUGGCUGUAAUGUAAUUAGCUGAAAUGAAAGAAGGGGUCAGAGAAGAGGGGGCAAAGGUUCCUCUUUAAAAUAAAAGCAGAGGUAAACAAAACCAGCUGCCCGGCAGCCGGUGGCUCCCUUCAUUAACGACCCUCAGAGGCUAAUGGUCCCAAGCAGCUAAUUGCAGGGCUCUGGGGAAGGCUUGCAUGAUCCAGAGGCAAACGGGGCUGUGAGGCGCAGCCAGGCUCCUUCGCGGCUCCGGGGCCGUGCGUGGCCGUGUCCCCACGUGCAUCUCAACCCACGUAGUCUUGGGGCUAUGUGGCACAGCAGGGUCCCCUUGUCCACGCAGAGGGUGCUAGCUCGGUGCGAACGAGGCCGUCUGCACUGCAGCAGGUUGCUCUGUCCAUGCCAGCCCCCGACCGCGACCACGACGGGUGAUGCUCGGCGUUUUGCUUAAAGCCCCAGCUGCCGGAGUCAGGUGGCCGUGCAGAAGGCCCAGCUGGAGCAGAGGGCUCGGCCGAGGAGCAGAGCGCGGCACGCAGGUGAAACGGCCCCGAGCACCUGGUCGAAACCCCCUGGAGCGUUUGGCCCGGCUGUGGUGGGGCGGCAGUGCCAGCGGCCCUGCCGAGACCCCGGAGGGGGCGAGUGCCUGUGGCUGCAGCCGGUAACGCAGCUUCGGCAGCUGGCCUGGGCGGGAUAAUCUGAUUUCCUACCGAGGGGAUUUUUCCAUGAAAAGCGUCUGCUUUCCCACAGAAAAUGUCAUUCUUUUUCAUCAAACUAGUUUGGCCCCGGAGUCGAAAAUGUCAGUGGGAAAACGUCAGCAUUGGAGUUUUUGGCAGAAAUGUCCCUAGGCAAAGAGGACUUGGAGCAGCUGCCUGUCUCCGGCUCUGCGGUUUCCCGGAGCGGGGGCACCACUCCUCAGCUCUGCCGGGCCGGCGGGAGCAGCCGGGGCCUCGUGUUCGCUGCGGGCGCCGGGCCCAGGACUCGGCUCAGCUCCCCCGCUGCCAGCCGCGGGGAGAGAUGCCCUUCUGCACCCUCCUGGCUCCAGGACUUUCCUUCUCCACCUCCCUUGUGCCCUCGUCCUGAGGGGCUUCGGGACCUGGUGCGAGCCCACGCUUGGGCUUCAGCUCGGCCAGCCGGGCCCGGGUUUCAUGUCCACGCUGCCGUGCCCACACCGGAGCUGCAGACACAACGGUUUGGAGGUGAUGCGAGGCGUGGAACGGGACUCGGACAGCACGGCUGCAAACCGUGGUCUGGACACGCAGCCACGUACGGCACAGGAAGGAAAGCCCUGGAUUCCUGCGUGGUCUGUGGACCUGGGAGCGCAGCGGGGCCUGGUGGGCAGGGAAGAGAAACCCAGGCUGUGUUCCCCAUCCUGCCACUGGCUCUGUGUGGCCUUUGGCACGUCCUGCCCUCUGCGUGCCCUCGUGGCCCAUGUCGAAUGGGGGCAGCGAUACUUCCACCAGGAAAAACACAUGGCUCUCCCGUGGUCUUUGCCCACGUGUCCGCAGGAGCCGGUGUUUGCAGUCCCGCUCGCCCUCGCUCUCUUCGUGCAGGGGGCAUCAUUUCGCGGGCUGGCUCCGGGGGCGUGGAUGGUGCAGACGGGCUCCCCCAGAGCCGCGGGGCAGAACGGCCUUCCCUGAGCUUGGCGGGUAGCGCGCUGGGCCCCUCUCUGCCCAUGCACUGGCUGGCAGUGGCCACCACAGUAAUGUCCAAAAGUGGGACGUGCCAGCUGCAGGAGCCCACCAUUGCCCACAGCUGGCGGUCCCCGUCGUGCUGCCCAGAUCCUCGGCAGUGCCGCGGGGCCCGUGUGCGCCACGCGUCAGUCUUUCCGUGGCCUCUGCGAUGGCAGGGCGGCUUUGGCGCCAGCUCGUCUGCUCGCUGCAGACAUCAGCCAUGGGCUCGUUCUUGUCUCUGCGGAUGGCCUGUCCCGGAGCCAGACGGCCCCUCCACGAGCGCGUUAUCUCUGCUGCUGCGAGACGCGCCGCCGCAGCCUCUCUUGGCUGACAGCUCGGGCUUUUCCUCCCCGCAUUCAUCACGGGCUCCUCGGCACUUGGGUGCAGCCUCGGCGCGGGUUCAAGCUGGCCUCGUGCUUCUCGUCUCAUCCUGGAGCCGCUCCUUUCAGCUGCGAGCCCUCGGAGACCUUCUCAAGGAGCAGCUCCGUCCUGCUCUGUCCAUCUCUGCUGCUCCUGGCCAGCGCUGCCUCCGUCUGGGCUGGUUGCUGCCCCGCGCUGCUCUUGCGCCGAGCCGCUGGACUGGUUAUGUGCGAUGCCGGGAGUCGUGGGUGCGGCCUGGGCACCUCGCUCAGCCCUGCGGGGUGGCAGCUGCUGACCAAAGGCUCCACCGCACCGUGCGCCCUUUUCCGAGCACUUCCUCCUCCUGGCAUCAGAGAAGCAGGCCUGGGUCGCUCUGUGGUGCCCAGCACCUCCAUGCUGCAUGCCCGGACUGUCUCUCUCUGCAGCCGUGCUGAGCAGAAGCCGUGGUUCCCGGGAGAGGCCGCAAAGCAUGGUGCAGAUGCCCAGUCCUCGCCUGCUGCAGGCUGCCUGCGGCCACGCUGCUUUUGUGAGCACACGGUCCUCACACCCGUGGCACACUGCACCCAGAAGCCUUUCCCCUGCUCCAAAGGCUGCCCCAGCACUGGCGUCCAGUCCAUGCCAUCCUUGUAAGGACAGCAACGGCUUGGAGAGGGGGAAGCCUGCACCCCCUGCUCCCGAGCCUGAGCCCUGCAGCCGCCUCGCUGGGAUUUACAACCCUCGCCCCGGCCCGGGGUCCCUGCCGCAGCGGUGGCAGCGCGUCUCCCUGCACGAGAUUUACAAGCAGCCGCCACGGCUCCAGUGGCGUCGUCUGCUCCGUCUGCUCCCCAGCAAAACGCACCAAGCCGUGACUCCUCCGCCGCGUCCCACGGCCCCGUGUAUGGCUCCAUCAAGAUGUCCUGAUGUUAAGGCUGCCUGUUUCUUUUUCCCCUUUGAUCUCUUGGUUUCCCCCGCACCCCUGCUGUGAGGCUGAAUAAAUCCCCGUCCUCCUCGGCGCUGAUCCUUGCAGAGACUUGCCCGGAGACUCUCCUUGCCGCACGUGGCCAAACCAGACCCGCUUUCCUCCUCGCCCUUCCCUUCCAUCUCCCGAUAGCAUGGGAGACGGGCUCCUGCAUCUCUCUGAUGCCCAGCACCAAGGGCAGGAGUCGGGGGCACGCGCGGCGCUGCAGGAAGGGGGCCAGGCCCCUCCUGCUGGGACACCCGGCCUUUGAGGCUCAAAAUCCCGUGGGUGCUUCGGAGCUGCAGCCAUUACGAAUCCACGUCGGCCACGGCCUCGCCUUGCGCCUGGGCUCUUUGCAUCCUCCCUGAUCCACGUGGCUGUCGAGCACAUUGGGACCUCCCUGAUAUCCGUGCACCUGCCGCCCUCCUGCCCUCCACCGCUUUUGCUAUUCCAUGUUCCUUAUGGAAGAAAUGUCUGGUGUCUCUUGGCCCCGGCCCCGCCUGCUACUCAGGACACCGUGGCCCCUGCGUGGCCGGGGACUCGGUGGCACGGAGGUGGCAGAGCUGAGCGGUGUGUGAAGACCAUCGCUAUCACUGUACUUGUGGUCUCAUGCUAGCAUGAAGGCCAAGCGUGCUGGAAAGUCCCUCCACCAGCUCCCCCCGCACUGGAGGGCUUGGAGGGGACCCAGCGGCAGCUCGUUUCGAGGGACAGCGGCUUGGAGGGGAAGCAGAGGAGAGCAAGGGAGGACAAGCAGAGGAAUCCCAGCCUGCUCCCCCUGCAGAGAGACCUGCAGCUUCUCAGUCACCUCGGGACCCACCAGGGAGCCCUGCUAGAGAUCCCCCUCGAAUUGAGGAUUGCCCGUGAUGCCGGGCUAGCUCUCCAGGCAUGGGCUGGGCUGCCCUGUGCAUCUGUGGGGCGUCGGUGCCCUUCUUGCAGGGGGAGUGAGGCUCCCGGGGACGCGUGGUGCUCCUGCAUCCUGUCCCCACUGCCCUCAGCACCUGGAAGCAGGCGGCCCGGGCUGCUCCUUGCUCCCCACACGCGGCUCAGUGCCCGGGCUUCCCCCGGGCUCGGUUGCAUCCUUCCAGCCUGCUGCAGCCGCUGGGGACCGGGGCUGCAUCCACGCUCAGGUGUCCCCAUGCCCAGGGCACAGAGGGCCGGGCUGUCCCCAGAAGUCCCUCAGUCACCUGGCCCUGCCCCUGGCUGCAGUAUCCCGUCUUCUUCGCUGGCCCUGUGGCUUGUCCGUCGUUGUGCACGUCGCUACCGGGUGUUUGGAGUGAGUCAGUCGCUAGCCGUCUUGGGAAGGAAGUCUCUUCUGUGCACAGCUGGAGCUUGCCCAGGUGCCGAACGCGACUGAGAGGUUGUGCCCAGCUUCCCCCUGUGCCUGGCAGGCCUGGGGAUGCCAGCAACGAGGUGCAAGAGCAGUCUUGGACACCCAGCAAGAGAGCGUGCUCUCUCCCUGCAGAGAAGAGUCCCCUGGACACUGCCCGGCACGUCAGGACGGAUCAUUUCUCACGAGGCCUUUGCUUCUCUGCAGUCUUGUUCUGCAUGAGAAACAUCAGCCGCCCAGCACAGGGGCUGGAGCCCAGCACAGCCCUUGCCGCACCGGGGAGCCUGGCAGGCAGCUGCUGGGGCUGGAGGACUUUUGCCCCCAGCAUCUUUGUAGUGGGAGCAUUGGGCUCUGCCCCUUUGUCCCAGGGGCAUGGCCCCUGCCACCCCAGUGCCCUGCUGGGGUUUGUGGUGCCUCGGUGGACCGUGCAGGAUGACCCCAAGGCACCUGGGCUUCUCCCGGCUGCAUUAUCUGUGCGCAUUUGCUGCCCACCCCGUCCCUGGCACCCGGCUUGGGGUAGGUGCAGCCUUGAUGGACGCUGUGAGCUGAGCAAGCGUGGACACGAGUGCCCUGGCGGCCCGUGGCCCGGCAGGGAGGCGUGUGGACGUCGCGGCUCCACGGGCACCCUGUUACUACAUUGACAGCCGCGUGGCCAAAGUGACCGACUUCCUGAAAACGCGCCUGCUGGACACGCUCUCCGACCAGAUCAG